GACAGAGGUGCCGAGCGUUAGGCGGAAUCACUGGGCUUAAAGCGUGUGUAGGCGGGUCGUUAAGUACCUUGUGAAAUCCCCCGGCUCAACCGGGGAACUGCUGGGUAUACUGGCGAUCUUGAGCCACCUAGGGGCAGUCGGAACAAGUGGUGGAGCGGUGAAAUGCGUAGAUAUCACUUGGAACGCCAAUGGUGAAAACAGACUGCUGGGGGUGUGCUGACGCUGAGACACGAGAGCCAGGGGAGCGAACGGG
RNAcentral lists this ribosomal RNA (253 nucleotides) under uncultured bacterium. RNAcentral's name for it is "partial 16S ribosomal RNA". It matches the Rfam family "Bacterial small subunit ribosomal RNA", at positions 524 to 776 of the family's 1533-position model. The record is from RNAcentral.